CAGUCGCCGCGGUAACACGUAGGGUGCAAGCGUUAAUCGGAAUUACUGGGCGUAAAGCGUGCGCAGGCGGUUCCGCAAGUCAGAUGUGAAAUCCCCGGGCUCAACCUGGGAACUGCAUUUGAAACUACGGGGCUAGAGUGUGUCAGAGGGGGGUGGAAUUCCACGUGUAGCAGUGAAAUGCGUAGAGAUGUGGAGGAACACCAAUGGCGAAGGCAGCCCCCUGGGAUGACACUGACGCUCAUGCACGAAAGCGUGGGGAGCAAACAGGAUUAGAUACCCCAGUAGUCCCUGUCUCUUAUAC
Molecule: ribosomal RNA, 301 nt
Filed under: uncultured bacterium
Lineage: Bacteria
Description: partial 16S ribosomal RNA
Rfam family: Bacterial small subunit ribosomal RNA
Source: RNAcentral